RNAcentral lists this long non-coding RNA (651 nucleotides) under Dunaliella salina. RNAcentral describes it as "long non-coding RNA (DSAL_LNC000148)". The record is from RNAcentral. Lineage: Eukaryota; Viridiplantae; Chlorophyta; Chlorophyceae; Chlamydomonadales; Dunaliellaceae.
UUGCCUUUGCAUAUUCCUGAAUAAUGCUGGCAGUUUGGUUCUGAUUUUCUGGGAGACAGAUCAAAGUUGUGUGGCCUGCAAAUUGUGCCUUGAGCGGAGAAUAAGGCUGAGCAGAUGGACAUUGGGCAUUCAUCUGAUCAUUCACCAUUACCAUUUGUCCAUCAGAAAAGAUAAAAUCAAAAGCCAGCGGUUCUGAUACCAAGGCGUUCAAGUCUGGAAAGCAGUUCAGAUAACUGGAACAGGCACAUGUCUGACAAACACCCCAGAGUCGACUCUGGGCCACACUGCAGAGUACUCUGGGCUGCUACCUAUUUGGGAGCAGGAGGAUCAUCAGGAACGGCUUGGCAGGGCCUGGGCAAUGCGCUAUGUGAUGGCCAGACUGAAAACAGUUGAAACAGAUGCCCUCAGCCUUCAGAAUGUGGAGCUCAGCCUGGGACAGAUUACGGCCAGAGAGGUCCUUGAACCUGGUUGGGGUGAGAGCAUCCUGGGCGGUGGUGCGUGGGAGCUUGCUGUCUGAGCCUGAGCCACCUGAGCCACGCCCACCUGCUCUGCCACUACCACGCACACCCGGCCAGCAGGAGUGGCAGAGGGUGGCUAGCUGCUGCCUCCCAUGCCGCGGCUAGAGGAGCCCCCACGGAUGGAGCCGCCCCU